Molecule: long non-coding RNA, 241 nt
Filed under: Nicotiana benthamiana
Lineage: Eukaryota; Viridiplantae; Streptophyta; Magnoliopsida; Solanales; Solanaceae
Description: long non-coding RNA (NBEN_LNC018355)
Source: RNAcentral
GAGGGGGGGGGGGAUGAAUAGCGUUAUAAUAAAAAUUAGCGUAAACUUCCGGAAUUUAAAAAUUGCAGGAAAUAAAUAAGUGCGAUAAGUAAAUAAAUUAGAACAAACGCACCGAUAUAUCCUGGUUCACCACAACCCGUGCCAAGUCCAGUCCCCGAGAGACUCUCUCGAGAUUUCCACUAACUUGUUAAGCUUACGGGUGCUCAACAAACCGUUACAACUUGAGGACACAAGCCUCNNN